ACCAGAUCCUGGAGCUGCUGAACAUCUGAAGACUGAAGGUUGUUGUAUCUCAGGUCCAGUUCUAUCAGGUGGGACGGGUUGGACUUCAGAGCUGAGACCAGAGCAGCACAGCUGGUCUUUGACAAACUGCAGCGCUCCAAUCUGAAUCCAGAACAAAGAGUUGAGUUUAAAGACAAA
Molecule: non-coding RNA, 177 nt
Organism: Oryzias latipes (Japanese medaka)
Lineage: Eukaryota; Metazoa; Chordata; Actinopteri; Beloniformes; Adrianichthyidae
Source: RefSeq, a predicted model, not a curated record